CGUACACUCCUGCGGGAGGCAGCAGUAGGGAAUCUUCCACAAUGGGUGCAAACCUGAUGGAGCAAUGCCGCGUGAGUGAAGAUGGUCUUCGGAUCGUAAAGCUCUGUUGUUAGAGAAGAACACGUGCUAGGUAACUACUAGCGCCUUGACGGUAUCUAACCAGAAAGUCACGGCUAACUACGUGCCAGCAGCCGCGGUAAUACGUAGGUGACAAGCGUUGUCCGGAUUUAUUGGGCGUAAAGGGAGCGCAGGCGGUCUGUUUAGUCUAAUGUGAAAGCCCACGGCUUAACCGUGGAACGGCAUUGGAAACUGACAGACUUGAAUGUAGAAGAGGAAAAUGGAAUUCCAAGUGUAGCGGUGGAAUGCGUAGAUAUUUGGAGGAACACCAGUGGCGAAGGCGAUUUUCUGGUCUAACAUUGACGCUGAGGCUCGAAAGCGUGGGGAGCGAACAGGAUUAGAUACCCGGGUAGUCCCA
RNAcentral lists this ribosomal RNA (475 nucleotides) under uncultured organism. Its description in RNAcentral is "partial 16S ribosomal RNA". It matches the Rfam family "Bacterial small subunit ribosomal RNA", at positions 330 to 797 of the family's 1533-position model. The record is from RNAcentral.